RNAcentral lists this ribosomal RNA (433 nucleotides) under uncultured bacterium. RNAcentral describes it as "partial 16S ribosomal RNA". It matches the Rfam family "Bacterial small subunit ribosomal RNA", at positions 29 to 507 of the family's 1533-position model. The record is from RNAcentral.
AACGAACGCUGGCGGCAUGCCUAACACAUGCAAGUCGAACGAGACCUUCGGGUCUAGUGGCGCACGGGUGCGUAACGCGUGGGAACAUGCCCUGAGGUUCGGAAUAACUCCCCGAAAGGGGUGCUAAUACCGGCUAAUGUCUUCGGACCAAAGGUUUGUCGCCUUUGGGUGUGCCGGCGUUGGCUUAGCUAGUGGUUGGGGUAGAAGCCUACCAAGGCGAGGAUCCACAGCUGGUCAGAGAGGAUGAUCAGCCACACUGGGACUGAGACACGGCCCAGACUCCUACGGGAGGCAGCAGUGGGUAAUAUUGGCCAGUGGGCGAAAGCCCGAUCCAGCAAUGCCGCGUGAGUGAUGAAGGCCUUAGGGUUGUAAAGCUCUUUUACCCGGGAUGAUAAUGACAGUACCGGGAGAAUAAGCUCCGGCUAACUCCGUG